RNAcentral lists this ribosomal RNA (433 nucleotides) under uncultured bacterium. Its description in RNAcentral is "partial 16S ribosomal RNA". It matches the Rfam family "Bacterial small subunit ribosomal RNA", at positions 29 to 507 of the family's 1533-position model. The record is from RNAcentral.
AACGAACGCUGGCGGCAUGCCUAACACAUGCAAGUCGAACGAGACCUUCGGGUAUAGUGGCGCACGGGUGCGUAACGCGUGGGAACCUGCCCUUAGGUUCGGAAUAACUCCCCGAAAGGGGUGCUAAUACCGGAAAAUGUCUUCGGACCAAAGAUUUAUCGCCUUUGGAUGGGCCCGCGUUGGAUUAGCUAGUUGGUAGGGUAAAAGCCUACCAAGGCGACGAUCCAUAGCGGGUCUGAGAGGAUGAUCAGCCACACUGGGACUGAGACACGGCCCAGACUCCUACGGGAGGCAGCAGUGCGGAAUAUUGGACAAUGGGCGAAAGCCUGAUCCAGCAAUGCCGCGUGAGUGAUGAAGUCCUUAGGGUUGUAAAGCCCUUUUACCCGGGAUGAUAAUGACAGUACCGGGAGAAUAAGCUCCGGCUAACUCCGUG